AUGCAAUCCCAAUCAAAAACGGAAGCCUUACCUGAUGGCAGAAAAGGCAGUUGCAGGAGCAGCAGCAGGGACGGCCGCAGCAGGGUGCCAACAGCCCAGCCUUGCGCGGAAGAAGGUUCUCCAGGCCGGGCAGCCAGUAGACACCACUUUCUUCCUGGAAGAGGCUGCCUCUCUUCUCAGAAACGCCUGGACCCCUCUCUGUGGCUCCCUCCACAUUUACCCUUCAGAUCAAUAAUGCUUUCGGAGCGGCUGGAGCUCAACUGCAGCGGCGAGCGGCGAGCCAAUGGGGGCCCAGGAUUCCCUCCUGUCAUCUCCCCGCCCUCAAAACAAAACACAGCGUGCCUUUGACACAUCAUUGAGUUGUGAAAAGUAAUUGAAUCCUAUAUUCGAAAUGUAUCUUGUUUGUUCUUUUUCCCCCCUAGCGUUCAUUGUAGAAUGCUUUGAAUGAAUCCGAGGACUCCUUAGCUCUCAGAAGACUCAUUAAAGGAGCUAGCGGAGAGUGAAGAUUAGGCGCUGAGAAAGUGAUAGCACCUGGGUUAGCAUCUGAAGCUUUGCUUUUUAAAUGCUUGAGGUCUAUCGCAUAUCAGAGAACUGUCAACUGGGAGGAAAAAGUCGUGGGUUCUAUUAGUCUUUCCGCCACUAAGUCGCUUGAGUCUUUUAUUUUGUGAAUCAAGACAAUUAAUUACGUUUACCUGGAAGCUGUUUCAUUGUUUAAUUGUCUAAACGAGAAUCAGAUGCUUAUUGUGGUAAUAACCAUGUGCAAGCAAUUUCUCCUAAUCCAUUUACUUGUUUCUAGGCUGAUUUAACUUGGUUCAGAUUCUAUGAAGAAGUAAAGAUUGUUAAGACUAUAUAUAUUAGUCUGGUCUGUUUUAAUUUUGUCGUGUUUAAAUAUUGUAAGAUUUUAAAAUUAAUGUUAACUUCUCUUUAUGAGAGAAUUUAUUAAUAAUUACAUAAAACUUUAUAGAAUAUUAUAAUGGCAAUAAAAUAUUACAAUGAAAAGUAUAAUUGUUGAAAACCUAUUCCUCCAAAAGCCACAAAACAACUUUACAUUCUUUAACCAUGAUUAUAUUCCUUGGUGUUUCACUAUUAAAAUGCUAAUUAUUGAAUAAACAUUUGCUUAAAUAUAUUCACCAAGAAUUGUGUAUUUUCUAAGAAUCUCAGUCAUUUUAUUAUUUAGACAUCAAGAAUGCCACAAUAUUUCAGGUAAUCAUUUAAUUUUGUUCUAUAAAAAAUCUCGAGUACAGAGUCUCAAUACAGUUUUAAAAAUAUGUCUAUGUACAGUAGGAUUGGUAGCUCAAAUUGCACAAAUAAUAAUGUCUUUUCAAUGCUAGUGUGGAAAAAGAAUAAAAUUAUUGUGACUGUCUGAAAUCUUUUUGUUUCACUGAAUGCAAAUGGGUUGAUGUAGUUGGUGUAGCCAAGCUUUGUGUAUCGUGACAAAUUGAAAUGGCUUGGGGAGACUUUACAAACAAAACAAUUUCGUGACCUGUCUAUCAUGUGAAAGGAGGCAUGGAAAAAUGUAAUAUUUAUACACUGUAUGCUGUGUCGCUAUAACAAGGUGAAUGCUAACUUUAUUGUAACUCAUUUAUGUAGCCAAUAAAAUUUCAUUCAGGGCAGUCUCUGGCUAAGUUUGGUCACCUGGAUUUUGUGAAGAAAAGAAUAUGCUGAUGAAAAAAUGAACCAUAAACAUUGCUUUUCCCUCAAUUGUAUAGUAUAUUUUUCAUUUAUUUAAAUUCCUUUUUUGAUCACAAAUAAUAGGUCAUUGGCUACAGAACACUGUCUUUGUUCUACAGGUCAAGAGUUCUCAAUGUGUGGUCCCCGGACCAGUAGCAAGAACAUCACCUGGGAACUUAUUGAAAAGACAAGUUCUCAAGCCCUUCCCUAGCCUAUCAAAUCAGAAACUUUAAGAGAGUAGGACCCUGCAAUCUAUGCUUUAAUAUCCCUCUGGAUGCUUCCAAUGCACACUCAGGUUGGACAGUCAUUGCUCUAGCUAAGGGGUCUACAAACUACAACAGAAGACCAGCCAGCUGCUUUUGUAAACAAAGACUUACUGAAAUCCAGUGUUGCCGAUUUUUUAUGUAUUGUCCAUGACCGCUUUUGCAUUACAAUGGUAGAGUCGAGAAGUAGUCACAGAGAAUUACAACAUGAAGCCUAAAAUGUUUGCUAUCUGUCAUUUAAAAGAUAAAUGUUUUGACCCCUCCUGGGGCACUAUAAGAUGUGCAAUAUUAGUACAAAUGGCAAAAGUUGGAGAAAAAAGAGCAUCUGAAAGUGGAGUGGAGAAGAUCAAAUUAACGAAAUCAGUGAGAUUUGAAAGAGAUUGAAAAUGACCAUGUAAUAAAUUACAUUGGUGUGCGUGUUUUGCAGAUUUUUGCUGCUCUCCCUGUAGGAGGGAUGCACUUCUCUGCAGUCUUGGUAUCUGAUUUAGUAUGAAAUAUGAAUGGAAAACAAUAUUGCCAUUUCCAAACAGAAUAUUGAAGAACAAAUAUAAAUUUGUGCGCACUUUAUCAGCAUGGGUUGUUGAAAGAAGAGAAUACUGGAGUCUUAUUCAUCCCUAGAUGGACAUGUAGUAUGGCAGGAUAAAAUAGCUUUUAGUUCUACACCAC
Long non-coding RNA from Papio anubis (olive baboon), 2600 nucleotides. NCBI's taxonomy places the organism in Eukaryota, Metazoa, Chordata, Mammalia, Primates, Cercopithecidae. The record is from Ensembl.